RNAcentral lists this transfer RNA (77 nucleotides) under Paramuricea clavata. Its description in RNAcentral is "tRNA-Ser". It matches the Rfam family "tRNA". From Rfam's summary of the family: Transfer RNA (tRNA) molecules are approximately 80 nucleotides in length. Their secondary structure includes four short double-helical elements and three loops (D, anti-codon, and T loops). The record is from RNAcentral. Lineage: Eukaryota; Metazoa; Cnidaria; Anthozoa; Malacalcyonacea; Plexauridae.
GCCUCUGUAGCUCAGUUGGUUAGAGCGCUGCACCGGAAUCGCAGGGCUGCAUGUUCGAUUCCUGCCAUGCAGAGGUC